GACGAACGCUGGCGGCGUGCUUAAUACAUGCCAGUCGAGCGAACAGGCGCGGAUUUUGCUCCUCUGUCGUUAGCCGCGGGCGGGUGAGUAACACGUGGAUCCUGUACUUAUAUGUCUGGGAUAACUUCGGGACACGGGAGAUAAUACCGUAUAAUCUAUUGAACCGCAUGGUGCAAUAGUGAGUGACGGUUUUGCUGUCAGUUCUAGCUGGUUCCGCGCCGGAGUAGCUAGUUGGUACGGUAACGGCUUACCACGGCGACGAUGCGUAGCCGACCGGAGAGGGUGAUCGGCCACACUGGAACUGGGACGCGGUCCAGACUCCUAAGGGAGGCAGCAGUAGGGAAUCGUCCGCAGUGGGCGAAAGCUUGACGGAGCAACGCCGCGUGAGUGAUGAAGAUCUUCGGAUCGUAAAACUCUGUUAUUAGUGAAGAACAAAUGUGUAAGUAACUGUACACGUCGUGACGGUACCGAGUCAGAAAGCCACGGCUAACUACGUG
Molecule: ribosomal RNA, 497 nt
Filed under: uncultured bacterium
Lineage: Bacteria
Description: partial 16S ribosomal RNA
Rfam family: Bacterial small subunit ribosomal RNA
Source: RNAcentral